This 2898-nucleotide ribosomal RNA is filed under the name Klebsiella pneumoniae. RNAcentral describes it as "bacterial LSU rRNA". It matches the Rfam family "Bacterial large subunit ribosomal RNA". Lineage: Bacteria; Pseudomonadati; Pseudomonadota; Gammaproteobacteria; Enterobacterales; Enterobacteriaceae. The record is from RNAcentral.
UAAGCGACUAAGCGUACACGGUGGAUGCCCUGGCAGUCAGAGGCGAUGAAGGACGUGCUAAUCUGCGAAAAGCGUCGGUAAGGUGAUAUGAACCGUUAUAACCGGCGAUGUCCGAAUGGGGAAACCCAGUGUGAUUCGUCACACUAUCGUUAACUGAAUACAUAGGUUAACGAGGCGAACCGGGGGAACUGAAACAUCUAAGUACCCCGAGGAAAAGAAAUCAACCGAGAUUCCCCCAGUAGCGGCGAGCGAACGGGGAGCAGCCCAGAGUCUGAAUCAGCUUGUGUGUUAGUGGAACGGUCUGGAAAGUCCGACGGUACAGGGUGAUAGUCCCGUACACCAAAAUGCACAGGUUGUGAACUCGAAGAGUAGGGCGGGACACGUGGUAUCCUGUCUGAAUAUGGGGGGACCAUCCUCCAAGGCUAAAUACUCCUGACUGACCGAUAGUGAACCAGUACCGUGAGGGAAAGGCGAAAAGAACCCCGGCGAGGGGAGUGAAAAAGAACCUGAAACCGUGUACGUACAAGCAGUGGGAGCACCUUCGGGUGUGACUGCGUACCUUUUGUAUAAUGGGUCAGCGACUUAUAUUCUGUAGCAAGGUUAACCGUAUAGGGGAGCCGCAGGGAAACCGAGUCUUAACUGGGCGUUAAGUUGCAGGGUAUAGACCCGAAACCCGGUGAUCUAGCCAUGGGCAGGUUGAAGGUUGGGUAACACUAACUGGAGGACCGAACCGACUAAUGUUGAAAAAUUAGCGGAUGACUUGUGGCUGGGGGUGAAAGGCCAAUCAAACCGGGAGAUAGCUGGUUCUCCCCGAAAGCUAUUUAGGUAGCGCCUCGUGAAUUCAUCUUCGGGGGUAGAGCACUGUUUCGGCUAGGGGGUCAUCCCGACUUACCAACCCGAUGCAAACUACGAAUACCGAAGAAUGUUAUCACGGGAGACACACGGCGGGUGCUAACGUCCGUCGUGAAGAGGGAAACAACCCAGACCGCCAGCUAAGGUCCCAAAGUCAUGGUUAAGUGGGAAACGAUGUGGGAAGGCACAGACAGCCAGGAUGUUGGCUUAGAAGCAGCCAUCAUUUAAAGAAAGCGUAAUAGCUCACUGGUCGAGUCGGCCUGCGCGGAAGAUGUAACGGGGCUAAACCAUGCACCGAAGCUGCGGCAGCGACACUAUGUGUUGUUGGGUAGGGGAGCGUUCUGUAAGCCUGCGAAGGUGACCUGUGAGGGUUGCUGGAGGUAUCAGAAGUGCGAAUGCUGACAUAAGUAACGAUAAAGCGGGUGAAAAGCCCGCUCGCCGGAAGACCAAGGGUUCCUGUCCAACGUUAAUCGGGGCAGGGUGAGUCGACCCCUAAGGCGAGGCCGAAAGGCGUAGUCGAUGGGAAACAGGUUAAUAUUCCUGUACUUGGUGUUACUGCGAAGGGGGGACGGAGAAGGCUAUGUUAGCCGGGCGACGGUUGUCCCGGUUUAAGCAUGUAGGCUGGUUAUCCAGGCAAAUCCGGAUAAUCAAGGCUGAGGUGUGAUGACGAGGCACUACGGUGCUGAAGUAACAAAUGCCCUGCUUCCAGGAAAAGCCUCUAAGCAUCAGGUAACAUCAAAUCGUACCCCAAACCGACACAGGUGGUCAGGUAGAGAAUACCAAGGCGCUUGAGAGAACUCGGGUGAAGGAACUAGGCAAAAUGGUGCCGUAACUUCGGGAGAAGGCACGCUGGUGUGUAGGUGAAGUCCCUGCGGAUGGAGCUGAGACCAGUCGAAGAUACCAGCUGGCUGCAACUGUUUAUUAAAAACACAGCACUGUGCAAACACGAAAGUGGACGUAUACGGUGUGACGCCUGCCCGGUGCCGGAAGGUUAAUUGAUGGGGUUAUCCGUAAGGAGAAGCUCUUGAUCGAAGCCCCGGUAAACGGCGGCCGUAACUAUAACGGUCCUAAGGUAGCGAAAUUCCUUGUCGGGUAAGUUCCGACCUGCACGAAUGGCGUAAUGAUGGCCAGGCUGUCUCCACCCGAGACUCAGUGAAAUUGAACUCGCUGUGAAGAUGCAGUGUACCCGCGGCAAGACGGAAAGACCCCGUGAACCUUUACUAUAGCUUGACACUGAACAUUGAGCCUUGAUGUGUAGGAUAGGUGGGAGGCUUUGAAGCGUGGACGCCAGUCUGCGUGGAGCCAACCUUGAAAUACCACCCUUUAAUGUUUGAUGUUCUAACGUUGGCCCCUGACCGGGGUUGCGGACAGUGUCUGGUGGGUAGUUUGACUGGGGCGGUCUCCUCCCAAAGCGUAACGGAGGAGCACGAAGGUUAGCUAAUCCUGGUCGGACAUCAGGAGGUUAGUGCAAUGGCAUAAGCUAGCUUGACUGCGAGCGUGACGGCGCGAGCAGGUGCGAAAGCAGGUCAUAGUGAUCCGGUGGUUCUGAAUGGAAGGGCCAUCGCUCAACGGAUAAAAGGUACUCCGGGGAUAACAGGCUGAUACCGCCCAAGAGUUCAUAUCGACGGCGGUGUUUGGCACCUCGAUGUCGGCUCAUCACAUCCUGGGGCUGAAGUAGGUCCCAAGGGUAUGGCUGUUCGCCAUUUAAAGUGGUACGCGAGCUGGGUUUAGAACGUCGUGAGACAGUUCGGUCCCUAUCUGCCGUGGGCGCUGGAGAAUUGAGGGGGGCUGCUCCUAGUACGAGAGGACCGGAGUGGACGCAUCACUGGUGUUCGGGUUGUCAUGCCAAUGGCACUGCCCGGUAGCUAAAUGCGGAAGAGAUAAGUGCUGAAAGCAUCUAAGCACGAAACUUGCCCCGAGAUGAGUUCUCCCUGAGACUUUAAGUCUCCUGAAGGAACGUUGAAGACGACGACGUUGAUAGGCCGGGUGUGUAAGCGCAGCGAUGCGUUGAGCUAACCGGUACUAAUGAACCGUGAGGCUUAACCU